This 1282-nucleotide long non-coding RNA is filed under the name Zonotrichia albicollis (white-throated sparrow). Its description in RNAcentral is "lncRNA (ENSZALG00000001336.1)". Lineage: Eukaryota; Metazoa; Chordata; Aves; Passeriformes; Passerellidae. The record is from RNAcentral.
AUGGGAAUGCUGGGAACACAAACCCGAUCCCAUGGAAAGCUGCAGAAAUGCCGGGGACACACAGUGGAUCCCAUGGGAAUUCUCUGGAAAUGCCGGGAGCACGCAGCUGAUCCCAUGGGAAUGCUGGGAACACACAGCCAAUCCCACGGGAAUGCUCUGGGAAAGCCAGGAACACGCAGCAGAUCCCAUGGGAAUGCCGGGAACACACACAUUUCCCAUGGGAACGCUCUGGGAAAGCCAGGAACACACAGCAGAUCCCAUGGAAAGCUGCAGAAAUGCCGGGAACACGCAGUGGAUCCCAUGGGAAUGCUCUGGGAACACGCAGUGGAUCCCAUGGGAAUGCUCUGGGAACACACACGGCUGAUCCCAUGGGAAUGCUGGGAACACAAACCCGAUCCCAUGGAAAGCUGCAGAAAUGCCGGGAACACACAGAGCCGAUCCCACAGGAAUGCCCUGGGAAUGCCAGGAACACGCAGCAGAUCCCAUGGGAAUGCUCUGGGAAAGCCAGGAACACACAGCGGAUCCCAUGGGAAUGCCGGCACACACACAUUUCCCACAAGAGUGCUCUGGGAAUGCCAGGAACACGCAGCAGAUCCCAUGGGAACGCCGGAACACACACAUUCCCCACGGGAAUGCCCUGGGAAAGCCGGGAGCACACACGGCCGAUCCGAGAGGAAUGCUCUGGGAAUGCCAGGAACACGCAGACAAUUCCACGGAAAGCUGGGAAUACGCACAGCAGAUCCCAUGGAAAUGCUGGGAACACACAAAGCCAACGCCACGGGAAUGCUCUGGGAAUGCCAGGAACAUGCAGACAAUUCCAUGGAAAGCUGCAGAAAUGCUGGGAACACACAGAGCCGAUCUCAUGGGAAUGCUCUGGGAAUGCCAAAAACACACAAUGGUUCCCAUGGGAGUGCCUGGAAUAUGCACAGCAGAUCCCAUGGAAUACACAAAGCCAAUCCCAUGGGAAUGCUCUGGGAAAGCGGGGAACACGCAGCUGAUCCCAUGGGAAUGCUCUGGGAACACACACGGCUGAUCCCAUGGGAAUGCUGGGAACACAAAGCCGAUCCCAUGGAAAGCUGCAGAAAUGCCGGGAACACACAGUGGAUCCCAUGGGAGUGCCCGGAAUACGCACAGCAGAUCCCAUGGAGUACACAAAGCCAAUUCCAUGGGAAUGCUCUGGGAAAGCCGGGAGCACACAGCUGAUCCCAUGGGAAUGCCGGGAACACACACAUUUCCCACGGGAAUGCCCUGGGAAAGCUGGGAGCACACAGCUGAUCCCAUG